GGUUCUAUGGUAUAAUGGUUAGCACGUUGGUUUUUGAUUGGUUUCAGAGACUACUACCGGAGAUCUGGGUUCAAUUCCCAGUAGAGCCU
This 89-nucleotide transfer RNA is filed under the name Lachnellula suecica. It matches the Rfam family "tRNA". Rfam says of the family: Transfer RNA (tRNA) molecules are approximately 80 nucleotides in length. Lineage: Eukaryota; Fungi; Ascomycota; Leotiomycetes; Helotiales; Lachnaceae. The record is from Rfam by way of RNAcentral.